UACGUAGGGGGCAAGCGUUGUCCGGAUUUAUUGGGCGUAAAGAGCGUGUAGGCGGCCAUACAGGUCCGUUGUGAAAACUGGGGGCUUAACCUCCAGACGUCGAUGGAAACCGUAUGGCUAGAGUCCGGAAGAGGAGAGUGGAAUUCCUGGUGUAGCGGUGAAAUGCGCAGAUAUCAGGAAGAACACCCGUGGCGAAGGCGGCUCUCUGGGACGGUACUGACGCUGAGACGCGAAAGCGUGGGGAGCGAACAGG
Molecule: ribosomal RNA, 253 nt
Filed under: uncultured bacterium
Lineage: Bacteria
Description: partial 16S ribosomal RNA
Rfam family: Bacterial small subunit ribosomal RNA
Source: RNAcentral